RNAcentral lists this long non-coding RNA (1166 nucleotides) under Capra hircus (goat). RNAcentral describes it as "lncRNA (ENSCHIG00010004672.1)". The record is from RNAcentral. Lineage: Eukaryota; Metazoa; Chordata; Mammalia; Artiodactyla; Bovidae.
GGCUGGCAAAAUCCAGUUUGGCUACGUAUAUGGAAUCAGUGCAAUUGGAUGCCUAGGAAUGUUUUGUUUAUUAAACUUAAUGAGUAUGACUGGUGUUUCAUUUGGUUGUGUGGCAAGUGUCCUUGGAUAUUGUCUUCUUCCUAUGAUCCUGCUUUCCAGCUUCGCAGUGAUAUUUUCUUUGCAAGGAAUGGUAGGAAUCAUUCUUACUGCUGGAAUUAUUGGAUGGUGUAGUUUUUCUGCUUCCAAAAUUUUUAUUUCUGCAUUAGCCAUGGAAGGACAGCAGCUUCUAGUAGCAUAUCCUUGUGCUUUGUUAUACGGAGUCUUCGCCCUAAUUUCCGUUUUUUGAACUGAAUUUAUCUGGGAUGUAGACAUCAUUGGGCCAAAUAACAAAAAGGACUUUGAACUCUUCAAUCGGACCAGCAAAUGGCUACAGUGCAACUCUCAUGCAGAUCUAAUGUUCGACUCUUGGAGCAGUGGAAGUAAAUAAGUAUCUUUGGUUCAUUUUUAUAGAACUUUUGAAUACUAUAUUGGAUUUAUGCAGUAUGACUAGAUUUAAAAGGUGUUUGUGCUUAUACAAAUAAGAAGUGCUAUUUCUUUCCUGUUCCUGCAGCCUUAGAAGAACAACCUUUUCCCUUGCUAAUUGUAUAUUAUGGUGUUUUUGAUAGAUUUUUAUCAACUGUGGGAAACUAACCACAGAGCUGAUAUCUUAAAAACAAUCCAUAGUAGAGAAGACACAGGACUUAUUGGAGAAAUAUUUUUCCAAGUAAUUAGGAAAGAAAACUUGCCUGUGUUGUUGAGUCAGAUGCAAUUGAAGCAAAAAAGUGAUCGAAAUGUGAAGUUUUAUGAGUUUGCACUUCAGAAAUUUGACGUUCCUCUAAAUUAUCUCAUGGAAUUUUGGCCAAAAUUCAGCAAUACAGGUAGUUCACAGUCUACCUUAUUGUAGACGUGGAAUGUGAAUAUCUGUUUAAAUAUUAGCAUUAACUAAAACAUAGUGACCUAGACUGGCCACAUUAAUGUUAUAGUUGUAUUUCCAUGUUUCCCAGGAAAAAGAUAAUCACUAACCACCUUUGAGGAAAAUAUUUAAAAUGUCACAAUUUCAGUAUUGCAGUUCCCAAUGUGAAGUGUGUUUGAUGCUUAUUGAUUAAAAUUUUCCCGAUUAAUUUAAA